Molecule: long non-coding RNA, 234 nt
Filed under: Eucalyptus grandis
Lineage: Eukaryota; Viridiplantae; Streptophyta; Magnoliopsida; Myrtales; Myrtaceae
Description: long non-coding RNA (EGRA_LNC007785)
Source: RNAcentral
UGAUCUUGAAAUUUCAUGUUACAGUUGUAAGACAACUGUGACCGACAGUCAUUUUUUAGCUGCAUAUCAUUUGAAUAUUAUCUGGAACUAUAAGGGCCUUUAUAUUUAUUUUUUGGUGCUUGGGAAUUUUCCAGGAUUUGAAAGAUUAGGAGAAAUCUUGUAACUUUUGCCAACUUGGCCUUAUCAACUCUUUUCCAAAAUGAAAUUUUGAGAAAUACUUCUGUCCCAUACAAG